RNAcentral lists this ribosomal RNA (468 nucleotides) under uncultured bacterium. RNAcentral describes it as "partial 16S ribosomal RNA". It matches the Rfam family "Bacterial small subunit ribosomal RNA", at positions 28 to 507 of the family's 1533-position model. The record is from RNAcentral.
GACGAACGCUGGCGGCGUGCUUAACACAUGCAAGUCGAACGGAAAGGCCCUGCUUUUGUGGGGUGCUCGAGUGGCGAACGGGUGAGUAACACGUGAGUAACCUGCCCUUGACUUUGGGAUAACUUCAGGAAACUGGGGCUAAUACCGGAUAGGAGCUCCUGCUGCAUGGUGGGGGUUGGAAAGUUUCGGCGGUUGGGGAUGGACUCGCGGCUUAUCAGCUUGUUGGUGGGGUAGUGGCUUACCAAGGCUUUGACGGGUAGCCGGCCUGUGAGGGUGACCGGCCACAUUGGGACUGAGAUACGGCCCAGACUCCUACGGGAGGCAGCAGUGGGGAAUAUUGCAUAAUGGGCGGAAGCCUGAUGCAGCAGCUCCGCGUGCGGGAUGACGGCCUUCGGGUUGUAAACCGCUUUCGCCUGUGACGAAGCGUGAGUGACGGUAAUGGGUAAAGAAGCACCGGCUAACUACGUG